RNAcentral lists this ribosomal RNA (143 nucleotides) under uncultured eukaryote. RNAcentral's name for it is "partial 18S ribosomal RNA". It matches the Rfam family "Eukaryotic small subunit ribosomal RNA", at positions 1299 to 1458 of the family's 1831-position model. The record is from RNAcentral.
UGGUGGAGUGAUUUGUCUGGUUAAUUCCGUUAACGAACGAGACCUCGACCUGCUAAAUAGUUUGGCGAAUUCCCUGUGGAUUCGUGCAUAACUUCUUAGAGGGACUAUCGGUUCGCAGCCGGUGGAAGUUCGAGGCAAUAACA